UACGUAGGGUGCGAGCGUUGUCCGGAAUUAUUGGGCGUAAAGGGCUCGUAGGCGGUCUGUCGCGUCGGGCGUGAAAACUCAGGGCUUAACCCUGAGCCUGCUUCCGAUACGGGCAGACUAGAGGUAUGCAGGGGAGAACGGAAUUCCUGGUGUGGCGGUGGAAUGCGCAGAUAUCAGGAGGAACACCGGUGGCGAAGGCGGUUCUCUGGGCAUUACCUGACGCUGAGGAGCGAAAGUGUGGGGAGCGAACAGG
RNAcentral lists this ribosomal RNA (253 nucleotides) under uncultured bacterium. RNAcentral describes it as "partial 16S ribosomal RNA". It matches the Rfam family "Bacterial small subunit ribosomal RNA", at positions 524 to 776 of the family's 1533-position model. The record is from RNAcentral.